RNAcentral lists this ribosomal RNA (434 nucleotides) under Salmonella enterica. Its description in RNAcentral is "bacterial SSU rRNA". It matches the Rfam family "Bacterial small subunit ribosomal RNA", at positions 1 to 431 of the family's 1533-position model. The record is from RNAcentral. RNAcentral also lists the same sequence under 3 other names. Lineage: Bacteria; Pseudomonadati; Pseudomonadota; Gammaproteobacteria; Enterobacterales; Enterobacteriaceae.
AAAUUGAAGAGUUUGAUCAUGGCUCAGAUUGAACGCUGGCGGCAGGCCUAACACAUGCAAGUCGAACGGUAACAGGAAGCAGCUUGCUGCUUUGCUGACGAGUGGCGGACGGGUGAGUAAUGUCUGGGAAACUGCCUGAUGGAGGGGGAUAACUACUGGAAACGGUGGCUAAUACCGCAUAACGUCGCAAGACCAAAGAGGGGGACCUUCGGGCCUCUUGCCAUCAGAUGUGCCCAGAUGGGAUUAGCUUGUUGGUGAGGUAACGGCUCACCAAGGCGACGAUCCCUAGCUGGUCUGAGAGGAUGACCAGCCACACUGGAACUGAGACACGGUCCAGACUCCUACGGGAGGCAGCAGUGGGGAAUAUUGCACAAUGGGCGCAAGCCUGAUGCAGCCAUGCCGCGUGUAUGAAGAAGGCCUUCGGGUUGUAAAGU